CUGCCGAAAUAGAGAAAGAGCUGCUGCAUCAGGUAUUCAGUAUUCAGAUACAACGUGAGAGUGCAGGUUUUGUUCUUGAAAGAUUUAUUGUUAUGCCUUGGAAAGACGAUGUAUUGUUUAACAGUUAUAGGCUGGCUAAGCAGGAUAAUGAUAACGCUCUACUUUAAAGCUAAACUAUAGUAUUGCGCUUUAUUGGUAAACCCUCCCGGAAAUAAAAUCUUCCGUUAAAACGAAGAAGUUCCGCUAGUCAGUCCCAAGAACAUCGUUAUGCACAGCUCGUUAGGGUCGCACUAGGGGAAUAAUUCGUACAGCGCCUGCUCGUACAAGUUCGGGCCACUGCACUCACACACACUAAGUGACGUGUAGCGCAGCGCUGAGCUCACACGCAGUCUAACACGUAAAGACACGUCGAAGUUCCAACGUCUGCACCAGUACAGCUGAUGUUCCGAGUAGGAGCGAUAAAACUUACUACAGUAAUCUCUCUGCAAACACUGCACAAGUGAAGGACCUUGUGGGAUUCAACGCUUGGGAUUCAACGUAGGAGCUCCUUUUAUUCGUGAUGAUUUCAUUAUUAUGAAAGGUAACUGGGACUACAAGAACUCAACAUGAAGGAGCUCCUUGUAGCUGAUUUCUUCAAACAGCGCCUCAAAGGUGCUAUUCCGUCAGCGGAGCUCCGCACAGGCUUUUUCGAUCUGCAUUACGGAUUAAAAAAUGAAAAAAACAGUGCACAUAAACCACCAACACGAACUGGACAAUUAAGUUAAAAAAGAAAACUGGGUCGCAACAAAAACUCCAACAAAAUUUAAUUGUUUUUAUUAAUAAACAAUUUUGCAAGAAAUGUUUGGCAUUUGGUGCUUUUAAAAUGCCGUGCCAUUUGGCUAUUAAUUUCCCCAUUGGAUAGUAUUGAGCCAAUUAGCGUCUUUGUUAUGAUCACGCCUAGUGGUUUUGCGCAAAUACGGUUGGGUGAAACCUGGCCACUCACAGAGCGGAUAGAUGCUCGACGGGCCAAUGCGAGAGCGGACAUACUAACGUGCUCCGUUGAUAUGUGGAGUCAUAUCAACGCAACACGCUACGAUCUCACUUUUUCCGGGAGGGAAACGAAUCAGAAUACCAAUCAACACUAGUGUUUUCGUGUUUUCAUAACUCUGAGCUGUACACAUCGUGUGGCUUCUUUCAUGGCUUGUCGCUAACAUUCCUUUACUCUUCAAGCAUGCCUCAAUAUUUUAAUUUUGCC
Paramacrobiotus metropolitanus is the source of this 1234-nucleotide long non-coding RNA. RefSeq lists it as uncharacterized. The record is from RefSeq and is a predicted model, not a curated record. NCBI's taxonomy places the organism in Eukaryota, Metazoa, Tardigrada, Eutardigrada, Parachela, Macrobiotidae. The transcript has 3 exons.